GCCCUGGGGGAAGACUAAACAUGCAAGUCGAACGGUAACAGGAAGCAAGCUUGCUGCUUCGCUGACGAGUGGCGGACGGGUGAGUAAUGUCUGGGAAACUGCCUGAUGGAGGGGGAUAACUACUGGAAACGGUAGCUAAUACCGCAUAACGUCGCAAGACCAAAGAGGGGGACCUUCGGGCCUCUUGCCAUCAGAUGUGCCCAGAUGGGAUUAGCUAGUAGGUGGGGUAACGGCUCACCUAGGCGACGAUCCCUAGCUGGUCUGAGAGGAUGACCAGCCACACUGGAACUGAGACACGGUCCAGACUCCUACGGGAGGCAGCAGUGGGGAAUAUUGCACAAUGGGCGCAAGCCUGAUGCAGCCAUGCCGCGUGUAUGAAGAAGGCCUUCGGGUUGUAAAGUACUUUCAGCGGGGAGGAAGGCGAUGCGGUUAAUAACCGCGUCGAUUGACGUUACCCGCAGAAGAAGCACCGGCUAACUCCGUGCCAGCAGCCGCGGUAAUACGGAGGGUGCAAGCGUUAAUCGGAAUUACUGGGCGUAAAGCGCACGCAGGCGGUCUGUCAAGUCGGAUGUGAAAUCCCCGGGCUCAACCUGGGAACUGCAUCCGAAACUGGCAGGCUUGAGUCUCGUAGAGGGGGGUAGAAUUCCAGGUGUAGCGGUGAAAUGCGUAGAGAUCUGGAGGAAUACCGGUGGCGAAGGCGGCCCCCUGGACGAAGACUGACGCUCAGGUGCGAAAGCGUGGGGAGCAAACAGGAUUAGAUUUCGUUUUUUUUAUAUACAU
This 780-nucleotide ribosomal RNA is filed under the name Kosakonia cowanii. Its description in RNAcentral is "bacterial SSU rRNA". It matches the Rfam family "Bacterial small subunit ribosomal RNA", at positions 33 to 809 of the family's 1533-position model. Lineage: Bacteria; Pseudomonadati; Pseudomonadota; Gammaproteobacteria; Enterobacterales; Enterobacteriaceae. The record is from RNAcentral.